Molecule: long non-coding RNA, 1219 nt
Organism: Pseudopipra pipra
Lineage: Eukaryota; Metazoa; Chordata; Aves; Passeriformes; Pipridae
Exons: 2
Source: RefSeq, a predicted model, not a curated record
GGUUGGUAGCGCUGCUGGGGAGAUGCCAAAAAACCAAAACAAAACACGUUUUCAUUUUGUCUGCACCAGCCUGGGCGCAGGCGAGCGCGGGAGAGAGGGAGGGAGAGGGAGGCGCACGCCAACAGAAACCCGCCGCGCUCAGACGCGGGCCUGCGGCCACGUCCCUCCGCAGCCGCCCCAGCAGCCGUUCCCGCUCCCUCGUCCCCCUCUCCCUGCCCACCCGGCUUCGCCUGCCAAGUCCGAGUUGGCACAGCUCCCCCGGCUGCGCCGAACAAAGCCGUCACCCAUCCCCGAGCCGGCGCUGACAGUAAGCAAAGUGACAGGCGCAUCUUCCGCAUGUUAAUCCAAACGGCAAGAAGGCGAACGAGCAGCGGAGGCCCCCCCUUGCCAUGCACACACACACCCCCCCUCCACCGACCCACGCACCCCACCCUUGGCACCCAACGGCCCCGAUGGCCUCGUGCCGGGAUGGCGAGGCCCCUGCCGGCGGGAGCACCGAAGCCUCCUCGUCGGCGAGGUUUAAAUCGAGCCGAAGCCCUGCUCGGCGGGCAAACGAGGCCACUCGGCAUCUGCUGUACCUGUUCCCGCUGCCUUCAUCUCGCCUUGGAACCGUGACAAGAGCGCACUCGCCUCUGGUGGGCUCUCAAAGCCGCGGGUCUGUAACCCUUUGCAGGAAGUUGGCACCGAUCCCAGCUCCUGAAUUAUUCCAGUCCACGAGCGGGAGGAGAGCGCACAGUCCAGAGUCCCUCAGAGCUGCCAAGAGCAUUGCAACAGGAAAGAAAGGAAGCGAGAGAGGGAGAGCCAGGCAGAGUCCUCACAAUCGAGCAGCGAGAAGAGCAAGGAGAAAUUAACAUCCAAUUAGUGCCGUGUUUAACGAGGGAGACAGAGGCGGCUGUUGUUUUAUUGCCCUGUUCUUUUCAGGCGCAUCUGACAGGCAGCAGGGAAGGCACCCCUGCUCCGAGUGACGUCAUCAUAUUUUAUUUUUUAAUUAUUUCCCCCCCCCCUCCUCCCCCCACGUCUUUCCUCCUUUAAGUUUCGCCCAGACGAUCUCGGCAACUCGGCCAGGGAAAUUUGGGACUUUCUCGCAUUCAAGCCACCGGCUCCCCCCUUCCACCUCCAGCCUCUCCCCCCCCACUCCGUCCACCGACACCAACCCCGGAAAAAUAGCCGCGCCAACCCACCCCAAAGUCUUUGUUCUUCCAAAUAAAAAAAACAAAAA